UAAUUUUUGAAAAUAUAAAAAUAUUUUUAGGUUCCUAGGGGAUAAAAACAGAAAACAACAACAAAAAAACAACCCAACCUCUCAGAUUUUGUGUAAUUUUUAAACAGGGAUGGAGAAGGGAGUGAUUCUCUGAGGUUUUAGCCAUUGUCUUACAGGUUGCUGAAACAUGUAAUUUGGAGAUACGAGUUUAAAUUCGACUUCUGCACUGACUAGAAGCUCUAUCCCAGACCUAGGACAUUUUCUGGCAACCCAAAGGCGAUUGAUAGUACUGUACAAAAUAUUUCUUGAGCUCUGUGGAUACUUUUCCUUUUAUUGUGUAUAUAACACGGCAGACUAUGACAGAUUCCAGUUCCUUGUUUUGGUCUGUAGUAAGGUGUGAACCACGAAGGAAAGCAGCAGAAGAGCUACACUACCAGGUGUGAAAGAGCAUUGAAAGUGAAGGUUGAAAAAGCAAAUGGUGGAGCAGCUUUGCCGAGGUAAGAAAGCUGUAUGCAAAGCUCACAUUACUACUGAAGGAGGGGACCAGAACUCUGUUAGCACUCCCACGUGGGUCUUAAGAAACACGCUGUCUGUCCAUGUCAAUCCACUCCUCUCCAUGAGUAAUUUGGAGCAGACAGCUAAUUGAAUGCUCUCAUAUUGCCACGGCUCUUUCCCUAGGGGUGGAUGCACUCAGGAAGACUCUUAGUCUAAGUCAGAAUUAGUCUUUAAUAUCAGAAAGAACAAACAAAUGAACCCUCUGAGUUUGAUGCGUUUGAUGAAAAUAGUUGAUGUGCCAUUUCUGAAUUGAGCUGAGUGUGCUUCAGCCUCAUUGAGUCGAAGCAUAAGGGCCUGCUGGAGGAGCUAAUUAGAGUGAGAAGAAAACCAGCUGCUUUUCAGCCAAAUUAAGGGUGCCCUUCUUUCUCCACUCAGCUGCGGAUCCUGCAGCUUUCCCAGCAAUGAAUGGCAGUUUCAGGUGUGUAAAGCUGCCUUUUGUCUAAUUAAAGACCUGCACCACUCAUGGUUAAUGCUCUUGUUUAAUGACAGAGUUUGCCAGAAAAUGUAUCUUCCUGUUUUGGGCAGAAUUGAGCCAGAAGCCUUUAGGUUGCCUUAGGUCUGAAGCCUUUCAGAGGGCUGGCACAUAGUGUGUUUCUGCAGUGUUGAGAGCAGGAGACCUGGACCAGUAUGCAAUUGUAAAUAACCUCCAAAAAGUAAAUACACAGCUCACUCUGCAAGUAAUGCCUCCUGUUUAUUUCCAUGGGAACGGCAGCAGCUACGAAGAGCACAAUAACACUAAUUGAUAAAGCAAAUUCUCAGCAACAGAACGUGAUGGAAUGUUGGUGGGAAUGUUCAACAUCCUCUGCCAUCCCACCAACACAUAAUGGGCUGACGUAACAAGAUAGGAGGCAUUGCUUUCGGAGCAGCCUUCAUACAUUGGAAAGCAACGCACGCUGCAAAUGGCAGGGUUCUGUUCUGCAAAUUGCAGAGAUUUCUAUCGUGCUGUUUGAAAGUGACAUUCAAAGAAUUGCUCUCUUGGGGCUGGAAAAGAAGUUCUUCAUUACAGAAAGCAGGGCUGGCUAUGAUUAAAAAAAGAAAGUGUUCUCCUUGGGGGUUUUUUGUUUUAUUGAAGUGAAAAUUGAAGAGCUGGCAAUUUCCAGACUGUCCAACCAACAACGGCCUGAACGGUUUCAUGUGUAAGUUAACAAAUGGAACAUAUAGAAUGCAUCUACAUAAAUAUGUUACUUUGCCUCUUAAGAGACUGCAUCAAUGGCUGCUAUAUGCUCAAUCUUCAAUACAUCACUGAGAUAUACCAAAACCACGGUUACUGAAAUUCCCCUGUUUAUCACAGGGCAGUCACACUACAGAUGACCUUAAUGGUUCCUUCCAACUCAAAUGAUUUUAUGAUCCUAUGAGAUGUGAAACAUCCAUGUUUUGGCUGCUUCCAUGUGGGAACAGCUUUUAUAUCUCUCAGCAGGAAUUCUGUAGUUGUUCUGUGAUAGUUUGGCAGCAAUCUGUGCUUUCUUGGAACGACCUUUGGAAGAACAGUGCACUGGAAACCUUUCCAGUAUCACAAUCCCUACAGCCACCUACAGAAAGAACCCAUUUUUCCCCCUUGGAAGUGGCUCCUUGUAUCUCACCAGCUGAAGACCUCAGAGCAUGAUCUCAUGGACUUGCCCCAGGGCAGGUUUUGCUGCGGACUUCCUGCAGGAGCAGGGAUUAAUCUUCUAAUCUGGUUCUGACACAGAGGAAAGAGCUUCUGCCUUCACUGGCUUGAGAGCUGGACUGCCUCACUACGCUAAACAGAAACCAAAUCCUUCUUUAUAAUUAGUACUUCGGGAGGAAAUGGUAAGCUGCAGUAAGUUACAGUAUGCUGCAGAUGUGUGGUGAGGGCACUGGAGGAGGUGGGGAAUAGCAUUGGUUUCAAAGAACAGCAGGAAAAUGGAAAGCAAAGGGGAAAAAAAGGAGCAUUGUGUUUUUUUCAGCAUCCAUGUUUAUAUCAGGUGUAGAUAAAUCAGAUCCUCUUAAUGGAAAGUCAGAUCUUAAUUAGAAAUCUGCCACUUUCCUACCACGUUUGGCAAGCUGAAUUUCCUGUCCAAAAUUCUCACAUCUCCAUGCUGCCCUAGCCUAGCCCUGCUCCUCCAUGUGCACAAGUGUUUAAGCAGUGAAUAAAAGCCAGAAGAACCUCCUGUAAACGUGAGGCUUUGCAUGAUUUAAACGCUGCCUACUUUUCCCCAGACCAGCCCAACUUGCUUAGAAAUGGAUAGAUUUAAGUUGGAGGCUAAGGGAAAACUGAAGCUUGCAGAAACAGCACUGUGCUUGAUGUGCAGAGUUUUCCCACUGCUGUGUGACCAUUUGGCUCACAGCAGAUGUGCAAGUGAGUGAACCUUCUCAUAGAAUGGUGUAGGUUGAAAGGGACCUUAAAGACCAUCCUGUUCCAACCACCUUCCAUGGCCUGGGUACCCCCCCACCAGAUCACACUGCUCAGGGCCCCCAUCCGUGGCUUUGAGGAUGGAGCACCCACAGCUUCACUCAAGUGUUUGCUCUGAAUUCACAGAGUUCUCAGAAAUGUCAAUGCAUGGACCCCCUGCAAAGAAUUUCUCCUUCCGAGAGACUUCUUAAGAAGAGUAGCAGCAGAUUUAGCCUCAUAUUAAACCCAGACACCUUACAAAGGCAAAACUCACCACAGCUCAAGCUUUACCCCUUGUGAAAGGUUCUGUACAUCUUCCAAGUUAACUCACAGCUGGCUCUGGCAGUGGCUGAAGCAUGGGGCAAGGGUCUAAUACUGUAUUUUCAGGCACCAGAGACUUCACAGGAGGGAAUUUCACGGGUUAUUUCAGUGCCCACCACAGCCCCUGCCCGAUGUGCACAAGACCUAGGCCUGCUGUGGUCCCCUCAGGUGGUUUAAGCAGAUGGAUAGAUGUUAUUGUGUUGAAGAGCAUGGAGUUAAUCACAGCUGACAAAUCCUUCUUGGUAAAAAGCAUUAGGCUCUAAGACCCCACCUGGAGGGCUGUACCUAGCUCUGGAACCCAGUGUAAGGCUGUCAUGGAGCCGUUGGAGCAGGUCUGGAGGAGCUUUUUAGUGGCCUUUCCAACCUUACUGAUUCCAUGAGGCACCUUGAAAGAACCUUGAGCACAAGCUCUUGUACCUCUGGAAAACCACCUUAGGAAAAAAGACAUGGCUAUAAACGAGCAAGGACCUUCAGCUGCUAAGCCUUUAGGAAAUGUUACACUGCAGCAAGAGAUGCUACAGCUGUGUAGUCUUGACAGAAGUGAAUAACAUAAACCACUGUCACCUGGAUGGAUGGGGACAAAAAGCACCCACACCAUCCUGUGGUUCCUUCAAACCAGGCUCCAUAUUCCAGCACAUGUAGUCCAAGAUCUCCAUCUAUCUGCAAAGAAAGUCCAUGUUUCAUGCUGACAGAUUUAACUGCAUGGGUCAUGUUCUUGCAUCUCCAGGUCUUUGUCACUCACUGCCAUUUGGAAGCAGAGAUGUUUCUCCUCGAGGUCAUGAGCUUUGUGUGCAUUUGUCAGCUCACUGAAGCAAAACCUCUCGCUGAAGCAGGAAGGCAGCAGUGCUUUCUGCACUGUGAGAAGUACAAAAUAUUGUUGGCAGUUCUUUGUUUCGCAUUUCUUUUUGGGAGCUUUUUGCUUGUCUCUCAAAGAAACGUCAUCUUUCCUGGUCAGUCCUUUGAAACGCCACAUGGAUGGCUAAGUGCAGGAAGCAUCCAGUCUCAGAGCAUGCUUUGCGUGCUAAUCAGUGAAAGCACUGCUGAACCAUAUUAUGCUGGAACAUCAAAACAGGCCAUUAGGAAGCAGCUGGGAGAGACCUUAUUGAAACCACUGGCUGGCACAGGAGGCAGCUAUGAGUGGGAGACACAGCAGAGCAAUGCUGGGGCCUCGAGUUGGCAAUAUCCUCUGCUGAAGGGGUUCUAACUUCAGGAAUGCUGCUUUAAAAGCAUUUCAUUGAUUUUCAAUACAACAGAAGCCAUCUGAAUAAAAGAACUUUGGAAUGUUGAGACAAAUUUUAUAACAGCCUCCUCUUUGAUUUUGUGAAACUUCUGCAAAAAGAGCUUCGAAAAUAGCUUCUGAAGACCAUCGGUGCCAUGAAACCCACAGGCAAAGGGCUUCAUUGAAAGGCUGAAGUAGCAAAUAAACAGGUUGGAUUCCCAUAGCAAGGUGUUUCUCAAAAAAGAGCCUGAGCCUGGACACAUUUGGCAUUAGAGUAAAGAUUUCCUUGCAGGGUUUUGUUGGCACAGAUUCAGUCCCUGAUGCAGAUCUUGGUGCCCCUCUCUGGUUCUGUGAGCACAAAGGCAGGGCUCACAGUUCUUAACAGCAACAUCAGUUACAAAAUCAGAGCACUCAGAAGCUGGAAAGAGUUGAAGCUGCAUUCACUUUAACUGUUUCCUCAUCAUCGUAAUUACUUACAUGGCUUUUUUUGGACUAUAAAUAAAAGCUUUUUCUAUCUCUGCAGCUUCCUAAUUCCAGACACUGAACAUUCUUCUCUGUAUAUAUUGAAACAUGUAAUUAUUUUUUUCUUCUGAUGCAGAUGAAGUCCAGGUUUCUGUAAUUGGAAUACACAGAUCAUAAAACUCACCAGUGGGUUGAGUCAGUGGCAUGGAAAUAGUCAGUAUGCUGGUGUUAUGUGCAGCUGGACAUCCACCUUCCCAUGCCUCUGAACAGAUGUUGAGAAACUUGAGAGCAGGACAAGUUACCACUAGCCUCUCUCCAGGUCACGAUGAGUUAACACAACUGAAAGCAAAACAGUCAAAGGACUUCGAGCAUGAGAAGCAGGAAGAGGGUUUCCUGGCUUCAUUGCCUCCAGAAAGGCCAAUUUUGCACACCGUGAGUUGAUAAAUGAAUGCUCAGAGUCUUCAUGCAGCCUGUGCAAUGGAUAGACUGCUCUGCACACCCUCUCCAUGGGCACUGCUCUUCCCAAGUGCUGGCAACGCCAUUAUCGGGAAACAAAUGAGCUCUAUCUGAGAUAAAUUGCAUUUACACCAAUUACAGCUCAAUUGUUGACAGAUGGGAACACAGAAGGGAGAUGCGUCGAAUCAUUAAGAGGACAGGUGUAUAGAAAAGUGCCAGAUUAAUUGUUCCAGCCCAUUAAAUCAUUGACCUUUCCAGCCUACCCUCAGUGCUGAAUUCAGAGCUCUCAGGAUCCUUCCAGCUCACACACGACGACCACAUUUACAAGAAAAGCACACAGGGGUGCUUUUAAAACACAUGCUCCGGACCCAGACUCAUUAGCAGGCCUUCUUUCUCAUUAAAAGCUGUUUUCUUACUGGAGUUUGUUUUCUUGGCUUUUCCGUGCACUCACACGUUGCUCCAAGGAGCAGCUUUCUCCCCAAUGAACAGACUUGCUAUACAUCCAGAGAGGUUGCAAAGGGCGAGGGGAUGAAGGCAGACAGAGAUCAGUGCUGAAUGGAGGCUUUGGCUUUGAGUUGAGGCUUUGGCUCUGAUUUCCAAAUCCUGCUUUCCCUGAGAUUUUCAGUAAAUCCUGGGAGAGACAAAUAGCUAAAAACUGCUGAGAGCAAAUCAGCCAUGGGUGUCUAAUUCCCCUAAAAACACGUAGAAGCGUGCCUCCUGCUGAGAGCCAACACCAGAUCCACUUAUUCAAGAUGGCCUGGCUUGGAAAUGCUAAGGUUGGAAAAGACCUUCAAGAUCAUCAAGUCCAACCACAACCAAACCAAACUACCCCAACAACCUCUCCACUAAAUCAUGUCCCCGAGCACCACAUCCAAAUGGUUUUUAAACACAUUCAGGGCUGGUGACUCAACCACCUCCCUGGGGAGCCCAUUCCAGUGCUUAACAACAUUUCUGUAAAGUGUUUCCUGAUAUCCAACCUAAACUCACCCCGGUGCAACUUGAGGCCAUGAAAACUAAGGGGAUAAGAUUUCCAGCAGAGGGAAAUGAAUGGCCAUGAGGGAGAUGGGAGGAAGAGUAAACCCACCUCUCUUCUCAAUGCCAAGUGAGCAAAACGUAGAUGUUUUAUAGCAGAUUAUCCAUUAAAGCUGGAGGUGAAGGAAAGUCACCUGGGACAGAGGAAAGGAAAUUUU
Molecule: long non-coding RNA, 6532 nt
Organism: Tympanuchus pallidicinctus (lesser prairie-chicken)
Lineage: Eukaryota; Metazoa; Chordata; Aves; Galliformes; Phasianidae
Exons: 3
Source: RefSeq, a predicted model, not a curated record